This 892-nucleotide ribosomal RNA is filed under the name Triticum aestivum (bread wheat). Its description in RNAcentral is "partial small subunit ribosomal RNA". Lineage: Eukaryota; Viridiplantae; Streptophyta; Magnoliopsida; Poales; Poaceae. The record is from RNAcentral.
GAGAGACUGGAUUUAUCAAGUCCGGUUAUGUGCUCUAACCUGCUGUAUCAUGUGACCUUGCUCAGAUGAAAAAACAGCAGAGAGCGCCCCUGUUGAGAGUCGAGCGAGAGAAGCACGUCCCGGCCCGAUCCCCAAUCUUCCCCGGCGGUGAUGCCGGCUGGAGGAGAGAAAGGGAAAGGAGCCCGGAGGAGCUAUGUAUAUAUUAAGUCUAAGUUGAGUCUUGCCCAUGUGGCGUCUGGCGCUAUGCCGAGGUGGAGAGUACCGCCGCCGUGUUAGAGCAGCGGCCGGUGGUUAGCGGUGGCUCCAGUCCUGGCUACGCUGGUGUGCCAGUUGCUUGUGAGGAGUGGGUUGCCGGCGACUCCACGAAUAAGCUCAUUUGGUCCGCUGAUCUGCAAGAGGUCCUUAUUCUCCUCUGCUUCCAAGGUUACCGUGGUGGUGAAGGAGGAAGAGAGGAAAGAUGGAGAUCCAGUUCGGGUUCGAGCUCAUCACCGACGAAGACCAUGGAUGUCCUAUGGCUCCCGUUGUUGCGGUCGAUGCCGGCCGUCGCCGUCGAAUCCUCUGACUGAAUGGCGGUCUUUCUUCUUCCUCCCGGCCAAGAGUCAGAUGGGAGGCACUGCAGCUUCAUGCUGGAGUUCAUGGCGUGGUGCCAUGGAGGGCUCGCCGCACCAAGUGGUGCCGUCCCCGGUGAAGACGAGUCAAGUUUCAUGCUGGAGUUGGUAGGGACCCGAUUGCUUUUUUCAUCAAUUUUCUGGGGUCCUCUUUGUUAAAGUCAGGGACCGGUUAGUGUUUUCCUUUUUCGUUCAGGGUCCUGAUGUAAAAUCGUUGUGUACUACUCCUUUCUAAUCAAUGCAGCUUCGGGGUCCUUCUGGGCCCUUAGUUUGUUCAAAAAAAA